This 935-nucleotide ribosomal RNA is filed under the name uncultured bacterium. RNAcentral's name for it is "bacterial SSU rRNA". It matches the Rfam family "Bacterial small subunit ribosomal RNA", at positions 33 to 932 of the family's 1533-position model. The record is from RNAcentral.
ACGCUGGCGGCGUGCUUAACACAUGCAAGUCGAACGAGAGCGUAGAGAAAGCUUGCUUUUUCUACAAUCUAGUGGCAAACGGGUGAGUAACGCGUAAACAACCUGCCCUACGGAUGGGGACAACAGCUGGAAACGGCUGCUAAUACCGAAUACGUUCCGAAAGUCGCAUGACUAUCGGAAGAAAGGAUGGCCUCUAUUUAUAAGCUAUCGCCGGAGGAGGGGUUUGCGUCUGAUUAGCUAGUUGGAGGGGUAACGGCCCACCAAGGCGACGAUCAGUAGCCAGUCUGAGAGGAUGAACGGCCACAUUGGAACUGAGACACGGUCCAGACUCCUACGGGAGGCAGCAGUGGGGAAUCUUCCGCAAUGGGCGAAAGCCUGACGGAGCAACGCCGCGUGAGUGAAGACGGCCUUCGGGUUGUAAAGCUCUGUUAUACGGGACGAAUAGUCUUGUGGUUAAUACCCAUAAGAAGUGACGGUACCGUAAGAGAAAGCCACGGCUAACUACGUGCCAGCAGCCGCGGUAAUACGUAGGUGGCAAGCGUUGUCCGGAAUUAUUGGGCGUAAAGGGCGCGCAGGCGGCUUCUUAAGUCUGUCUUAAAAGUGCGGGGCUUAACCCCGUGAUGGGAUGGAAACUGGGAAGCUCAGAGUAUCGGAGAGGAAAGCGGAAUUCCUAGUGUAGCGGUGAAAUGCGUAGAUAUUAGGAGGAACACCAGUGGCGAAAGCGGCUUUCUGGACGAAAACUGACGCUGAGGCGCGAAAGCCAGGGGAGCGAACGGGAUUAGAUACCCCGGUAGUCCUGGCCGUAAACGAUGGGUACUAGGUGUAGGAGGUAUCGACCCCUUCUGUGCCGGAGUUAACGCAAUAAGUACCCCGCCUGGGGAGUACGGCCGCAAGGUUGAAACUCAAAGGGAAUUGACGGGGGCCCGCACAAGCGG